UUAAGUUCAGCGGGUAUUCCUACCUGAUCCGAGGUCAACUCUAAAAAAGUUGGGCGUUUUACGGCAGUGGCCGCGUCGCGCUCCCGCUUGCGAGGUUGUGCUACUACGCAGAGGAGGCCGCGACGAGGCCGCCAAUUCAUUUCGGGGGCGGCGGACGCACCGGGCACGCGCCCCGGAGGGCGGGCUCGGGCGAGGUCGCC
Molecule: unclassified non-coding RNA, 200 nt
Filed under: Clavicipitaceae sp.
Lineage: Eukaryota; Fungi; Ascomycota; Sordariomycetes; Hypocreales; Clavicipitaceae
Description: partial internal transcribed spacer 2
Source: RNAcentral